RNAcentral lists this unclassified non-coding RNA (692 nucleotides) under Hevea brasiliensis (rubber tree). The record is from RNAcentral. Lineage: Eukaryota; Viridiplantae; Streptophyta; Magnoliopsida; Malpighiales; Euphorbiaceae.
UCCACAUAAAAUAUAGGCAAUAAGAUGCAGAAACUGUCUCCACCGCGAAGGUGUGAACCAUGGGGUGUACUCCAUCACAUGGAUAAAUUUGCUGAAUUAACUUGGACGAACAAGCUUCCUUCGUUUAGCCUGCGGGGAUGUAAAAAGCUUUUGCACUGAAGCAACAGGAUCAUCCACCUUAAUCAAGGAAGAUGGAGCAUGAUUGGACAAAGGAGAAGAAGAUUCCUCAUGACGCUCUAAAGCGGAUAAUGUUUGUUCCCAUCCUGAUGGAGAGACACCAUUAGAUGCUAUCCAGGGGCAAAAAUAUCUGUGCAGCUUGAAUGGAUCAAACUCCAAAGCUUUAUCUAAGGAUAGAAUUGGCAACUCCUUCCCUCGACUAGAUGAUCCAAAAUCAUUUCCAACCUUGUCCUUACAAGGAUCCGUGACUGCUGGAUCAACCUUGUUCAUACUUUCUGUAUUAUCAGCCAUUUCAGUGGUGUUACCAGAAACUUGUGCUGCAGCCUGGUUGUUUUCGAGUUGAGCUUCUGUACUCACUUCCGAAGUAGACAGUGAAGAUCCUUCCUCAGUAUUUUCUCCUGCAAGAAACUCUGGGUUUUUGCUUACACCAGAUGAGCUCUUGGUUACUAAAUCAUCCUUGAGCUCAGAUUCAGCAAUAAACCAUGCUCUCAGAUUCCGUCCAAUGAUUGGCAGAG